This 345-nucleotide ribosomal RNA is filed under the name uncultured bacterium. Its description in RNAcentral is "bacterial SSU rRNA". It matches the Rfam family "Bacterial small subunit ribosomal RNA", at positions 29 to 368 of the family's 1533-position model. The record is from RNAcentral.
AGCGAACGUUUGCGGCGGGCUUAACACAUGCAAGUCGAACGAGAAUCCCUUCGGGGAGGAAAGUGGCGCACGGGUGCGUAACACGUGGAUAACCAACCCAUUGGUUUGGGACAACACCGGGAAACUGGUGCUAAUACCAGAUGUGUCGCAGCUGUCUUCAGGCGGUUGCGAGAAAGGCCCGCAAGGGUCGCCAACGGACGGGUCCGCGUCCCAUCAGCUAGUUGGUGAGGUAACGGCUCACCAAGGACGAAGACGGGUAGGCUGGUCUGAGAGGAUGAUCAGCCACACUGGAACUAGAGACACGGUCCAGACUCCUACGGGAGGGCAGCAGUGGGGAAGUAAUUG